Poecilia reticulata (guppy) is the source of this 976-nucleotide long non-coding RNA. RefSeq lists it as uncharacterized. Lineage: Eukaryota; Metazoa; Chordata; Actinopteri; Cyprinodontiformes; Poeciliidae. The record is from RefSeq and is a predicted model, not a curated record.
GGAAAUAUAUUACCUUGUUGCGUACGAGCCAAUCACCAGCAGAACAAAACAGUUGUUUGUUUUGUGUUAUUUUUUCUUUUUAAUCAAAUAUAUUUGGGAUAUAUUUUUGCAUCCCGAUCAACACUCCGUUCCAGUAGGUGGCGCUUAUCCUGCUGGACACGUUAACACCAGAACCCUUGUGUUUUUCCAAACACGUCCCAUGUUGCUAAUGAGCGCUUCUAGCUAGGUCAUUCAAUGACACACAAGAAGAGAAUGGACCCAUUUAGAGACGAAGAGACAAGAUACGUAGUAUUUGUGGUGAUUAACAAACUGCACGCAGGUGUUGGGGACAGGAAAUGGCAACACCAACACAGACAGUUCAAGAAAAUAAAAAUAUAACCAAGUAGCCUACGCACAAGAAUUACCUUUGACAUUUGGGUGUCAGGAAGCAGUUUGCCAGGACCUCCACCUGGACUACAGCAGGAAGAUGAACUCUGCUGGCUCCCAUCUGCCCACCACUCCACCACUGGAACGGUUCUCUGGCCCUGUCGGGCUCUUGGCCUCAUCCUCGCUGACUGAAGAUUGGCCAGAUGGCGUUAUCUAUGGACCAAUAGGGCGCCUGGAUCCAUACCUCAUCCCACAGGUCCUUCUGAUGGCCUUAGCUCAACCGUAGGCCGAAGAACUGCUGGACCUGAAACCUGGCUGUCCCUCAGGCUCGGGAGACUUGAGGUUGGACCAGCAUGAACAGAGACAAAUUGAUUCCAUGAGACCAAAUAAGAGCUGCACGUUGACAUCACACCAGCAGGUGGCAGGAGUGCACUGCUCUGACUGCAGCAGACUUCCUGUAUGAAGGGAUGAAAGGCUGAGCUUGGCUGGCAGUUCAGGCAUUAUCUCACCCCAGUUUGAUUCCAUUACACCGACAGAAGGAAAGAGGAGCUGACUCACAGAACCAACCGAGAGAGAAACCCGUCUACUUAAAACUUUAUUGAAAGGCUAA